RNAcentral lists this ribosomal RNA (323 nucleotides) under uncultured eukaryote. Its description in RNAcentral is "partial 18S ribosomal RNA". It matches the Rfam family "Eukaryotic small subunit ribosomal RNA", at positions 1470 to 1796 of the family's 1831-position model. The record is from RNAcentral.
CCCUUAGAUGUUCUGGGCUGCACGCGUGCUACACUGAUAUUGCCAAUAUGUCAUUCUUAUCCGAAAUGGAGUGGGUAAUCAAGUAAUGAAAUUUCAUGCUUGGAAUCGGUAAUUGCAAUUUUAUCGUGAACGAGGAAUUCCUAGUAAGCACUAGUCAUCAGCUAAUGUUGAUUAUGUCCCUGCCCUUUGUACACACCGCCCGUCGCUACUACUGAUUGGGUGUUCAAGUGAGAUGCUUAGACCCUUGUUGCAUGGUUCAUUAUUGUGCUCCGAAAGGAAAAAGUUUCAAGCUUGAGUGUCUAGAGGAAGUAAAAGUCGUAACA